GCCUUUGCUUUGGUGCAAUAUGGAUAGCGCGUUGGACUUCUAAUCCAAAGGUCGUGGGUUCAAAUUCCACCUGGGGCG
Molecule: non-coding RNA, 78 nt
Organism: Trichonephila clavipes
Lineage: Eukaryota; Metazoa; Arthropoda; Arachnida; Araneae; Nephilidae
Source: the annotation of a GenBank genome assembly